UUGUCCAGAAACAGUGAGAAUGCUUCUCAGGGCAGGAGCAAAAGGCCAGCAUUAGGAGAAGACCUGUUCUGGGGACAGUUAGACCCUGCUGCCCCAGCUCUCACCACAUCCCCCGUGAGGAUGCAUCUGGAAGGAGGAGGUUGAUUUCAGAAAGGCUGUACCU
Molecule: long non-coding RNA, 163 nt
Filed under: Bos indicus x Bos taurus (hybrid cattle)
Lineage: Eukaryota; Metazoa; Chordata; Mammalia; Artiodactyla; Bovidae
Description: lncRNA (ENSBIXG00000002504.1)
Source: RNAcentral